UAUAUAUAUAUAUAUAUAAACCAAAUAGUAAGACUUAUUCAGAAGGAUAACCCGGAGCAUACUACUUCCACAAACCUGAUUUGAUUGUCACUAACUUUCAAAUUGAAAGGGAUCUACUACAACUGCUCAUGAAUUUCGAGAUUUUACAGCUAAUAGAGGAACAAAUUUUAUCUGCUUCCACUUAGCCAAACAGCAUGGAAAUAUGCUAUUGUAAUGAGUAGAAGAUAUUUGUAUCAUGCAACAGCUAAUUAUCAGUACACACAUUUCAAGAUGAGGAAAAGAACAGUAUAAGCUACAUUCAUUGAUGCAUUAUUUAUACAAAAAUGUAUAGUCAACCCAGUCAUCACUCCAUUUUUUUAUGAAGCCAGUUACAGUUACCAUGAAGGGAUGAAAUUUCAGAUAAUAUUCUGUUUAUUUCAUGAAAUGAGAAUAGGCCUACAUCAGAAAUUGAAAUGGUCAUCUUCAGUAUUUAAUGUUUCAUCUAAAAAUGAUAAUUAUAUUAAUACAUAUUUGAUGUACAAACAAAUGAAAACCAUUCAAACACUUUUUUUUUGUGAAGUAUAGAUGAUUAAACUUGUAAGUGUCUGAACAAUA
Long non-coding RNA from Biomphalaria glabrata, 594 nucleotides. RefSeq lists it as uncharacterized. The transcript is spliced from 3 exons. NCBI's taxonomy places the organism in Eukaryota, Metazoa, Mollusca, Gastropoda, Planorbidae. The record is from RefSeq and is a predicted model, not a curated record.